CCUGACGCAGCGACGCCGCGUGGGGGAGGAAGGCCUUCGGGUUGUAAACCCCUUUCAGAUGGGACGAAGCUUCGAGGGUUAAUAGCUCUCUGGAGUGACGGUACCUUCAGAAGAAGCCCCGGCUAACUACGUGCCAGCAGCCGCGGUAAUACGUAGGGGGCAAGCGUUGUCCGGAAUCAUUGGGCGUAAAGCGCGUGUAGGCGGUCCGGUAAGUCCGCUGUGAAAGUCGGGGGCUCAACCCUCGGAUGCCGGUGGAUACUGUCGGGCUUGAGUACGGAAGAGGCGAGUGGAAUUCCUGGUGUAGCGGUGAAAUGCGCAGAUAUCAGGAGGAACACCAAUUGCGAAGGCAGCUCGCUGGGACGUUACUGACGCUGAGACGCGAAAGCGUGGGGAGCAAACAGGAUUAGAUACCCUGGUAGUCCACGCUGUAAACGAUGGGCACUAGGUGUGGGGGGUGUCGACUCCCUCCGUGCCGAAGCUAACGCAUUAAGUGCCCCGCCUGGGGAGUACGGCCGCAAGGCUAAAACUCAAAGGAAUUGACGG
This 543-nucleotide ribosomal RNA is filed under the name uncultured bacterium. RNAcentral's name for it is "bacterial SSU rRNA". It matches the Rfam family "Bacterial small subunit ribosomal RNA", at positions 382 to 916 of the family's 1533-position model. The record is from RNAcentral.